CCCCAGUCACCGCCUGCUAAUCCCCUAGUUAAAACCGGCAAAAGGGCUUUGCAUUUUGCGUAUUCGGGGCUCCUUGGGAUUGUAGAGAGAGGAAGGAGCCUCUAUUGUACUGAUGUAAUCUUCGGUCUUACAUCCCAAACCACUCAGUGGCUAAGAGGGCAAUGCAGUGGUUUGAUUUUUGGGCUGAGAGGAAGAACUGUGAGAAGGUUAAUGUGAUACUAACUGAAGACUUCUUUAAGUCAAUCAGCUUCAAGCUCAAUGUCUCAUGGAGAUUUUAUUGAUUGCUUGGAAGACAAAAGGAGGCCUUCCUUCAGAGUAGCUAAGCUGUGGCUUACAGAAGCAGAGUCCAACUGACUACCAGAGUUCCUGUGUGAUGUCGCACCUUCCCUCACAUCAAAUGUUUCACAGAUGCUGCUUGCCUGAGGAAUUAUGGAGAGAAAAAAUAAAUAAUAGAAAGGAUCCAAAAGAUUGCCAAGUCCAGCUAUUAUCUCCAAGGAAGUUUGUCAUGCACUGUGUCUAAUUGUGGUUGUCCAGCCUAUUCUGACCCACCCAGGAAUGACAUUUUACAUUUCUAGGAAAUUGAUUCCAAUGCUUUCCAACCUUUAUUAGGAAAACUACAUAUAUAUUUAUAACUCCAUUUUUUUUUUUCAAAUAAGCCUUGUUAUGUUUUAUUCUGUCCCUAGUGACAUGAAGAAAACAUUUACUCCAUCUCUUUCGUCAAUGAAAAGUACCUGUGUUCCAUGUCUUCCCCUUCAUGUUUUUCCACCCUGUUUUAUAAAAGUCCAGCUCUUUCAUCAGUGACUAUGUUUGAUGAGACUACUGAUCUGCCCUCCUGCUUUUCUCCUAGUUAUACACACCUCUUCAUUACUGGAAAUUGAUUCUUUAUAACUCCUCCAUAAAUGAUCUUUCUUUCUAACAUGGCAAGAAUACUAUGCUGUACAAGAAAAUUCUUUGAAAAAAUAAAAACAAAAACAACCAAACAAAAAAACCCUCUUCCUGUAUGUAUGUAUGUAUGUCUCUCUCUCUAUAUAUAUAUAUCUAUGUAUACGUUAAAUUGUAACCUUGCAGUGCAGAAAAUAUGUUGUUGACAUUGUUAUUUACAGACCACUGAAACUGCUCUGCAAGCACUGGAGUCAUGGACCACUGAAGAACACAAGUAGAGCAUAUUAUCAAACAUAGAAAAAUUACCCCAAAUGGUCCCUAGAAUGAGGAAGAAGAAAU
This is a long non-coding RNA of Cygnus olor (mute swan), 1221 nucleotides long. RefSeq lists it as uncharacterized. The record is from RefSeq and is a predicted model, not a curated record. Lineage: Eukaryota; Metazoa; Chordata; Aves; Anseriformes; Anatidae. The transcript is spliced from 5 exons.